Long non-coding RNA from Mauremys reevesii (Reeves's turtle), 474 nucleotides. RefSeq lists it as uncharacterized. The transcript has 5 exons. Lineage: Eukaryota; Metazoa; Chordata; Testudines; Geoemydidae. The record is from RefSeq and is a predicted model, not a curated record.
ACUGGAUGCAGAAGAGAGCUGGCCCAGAGCACUGGUGUGUUCCAAUCCCCUUGGAGGAACUGGGGCAAGAGGAGUGUAUGCUGGGAACUGGGGAACUUUCAACUGAGGAUCUGAUUUAGGAAGGCAUCAGAAGAGCUAGCCUUUCUGAAGGCUUGCGGUUACAGCCCUGGCCCUCUGCUGCUCAGGUCCUGGACUCUUGGGACCUGUCCUAGUCUGACGGCCAUAAGCCAGCGAUGGAACACUGCAGUGCUGCAUAAUUCUGAUCGCUGGAACCUGGAGCGCUCGGGAACAUACAGCCACGGAGAGCUACCAUGCAGUGAGGUUGGCAUGGAGACAGCAUGAAGACCGCGUAUACAGUAUUGCAUGAGGAAGCUUGCAUGCAACGGAGGAAAAGAAGAAACCAUAGCAACAGCGGGGGUCCUUUGGACUUAACACUCCACAGACAAGGCCUUGAUGUUAACAUUCUGCCUGCAC